RNAcentral lists this unclassified non-coding RNA (230 nucleotides) under rhizosphere metagenome. RNAcentral's name for it is "partial ribosomal RNA internal transcribed spacer region". The record is from RNAcentral.
GUAGGUGAACCUGCGGAAGGAUCAUUACCGAGUAAGGGUCUUCCAGGCCCGACCUCCAACCCUUUGUUUAACCAACCACGUUGCUUUGGCGGGCCCGCCCUUUGGGGCCGCCGGGGGCUUUACGCCCCUGGCCCGUGCCCGCCGGAGCCAUCUUAAAUUCUGGUAACUGUGCCGUCUGAGUAUAGAUAUAAAUCGUUAAAAAACUUUCAACAACGGAUCUCUUGGUUCUG